GUGUCGUGUUUCUUAUUUGAUGACUCGUAAAAAGAGUUUGUGCGAGUGUUCGUCUAUGGAUGACAUAUGCUUGAUCAAGCUUCGUCGAAGUGUCUCGUCGAUAAAGUUCUGUUGAUUUUGGAGAUGGCUGAUGGAUUUGAAGUUGAAGACGAACUCUCUUUCAGUGUCUAUGUGAGUAACACUGAGGAACCUUCUUUCUUUGUAAAAAAAAAAUGUGAUAUAACAGAGCCACAUCCAACACCAAGUGUCGAAAAUUCUCCGUCGGAUGGAGCCAAGGAGAAGGUUAUACAACAUUUAUGAAUAACGAUUAAUGUCAUUCGGUAUUUUCUGAUUUGUAUUUCAUUGGCUGUUCCUUUCAUAUUUUUAGGGCCUAUUUGACGACUUGAGAAAAAUAAUCGAAACGUCAGGAAGGCCCUCAACGGAAAGAACGGGAGUUGCAACAUAUUCAAUUUUUUCCGGAGGACACAAAUUUGAAUUCUGCCAUUGUAGCCGAUGCAUCCCGCGGGAUGAAACAACCAGGACUGAUUAUACUUGGAGUGGACCAAUUCUACCUUAAAUUAGAUGAGCAUGCAGUCAAACUUGGAGUUGGUUGCGUGUCAGAGGCCAUGGGAUAUGUUUUGGGGGCUUAUUUUGUGUUUAAUUGCUCAUAUCCGCCUCUGUGGCACAUGGUUUUUUGUUUUUUUUGGAAGAAGUUGUAAAUAUUCCUAAAGAACUUAGGAGCGUAAUAUCUUCAAUCACCAUUAGAAAUUUCGUGUCAAAACUUUCCAAAGUAUCUAAUUAGUUAGCAAUGUAUUAAGUUGGAACUGGGAAAAUACAAUGUCUUUGAGUAAAUUCA
This is a long non-coding RNA of Daphnia pulex (common water flea), 835 nucleotides long. RefSeq lists it as uncharacterized. The record is from RefSeq and is a predicted model, not a curated record. Lineage: Eukaryota; Metazoa; Arthropoda; Branchiopoda; Diplostraca; Daphniidae. The transcript has 3 exons.